GAUGAAGAACGUAGCAAAAUGCGAUAAGUAAUGUGAAUUGCAGAAUUCAGUGAAUCAUCGAAUCUUUGAACGCACAUUGCGCCCGCCAGUAUUCUGGCGGGCAUGCCUGUUCGAGCGUCAUUUCAACCCUCAAGCACAGCUUGGUGUUGGGCCCCGCCGCCCCGGCGGGCCCUAAAGUCAGUGGCGGUGCCGUCCGGCUCCGAGCGUAGUAAUUCUUCUCGCUCUGGAGGUCCGGUCGUGUGCUCGCCAGCAACCCCCAAUUUUUUUCAGGUUGACCUCGGAUCAGGUAGGGAUACCCGCUGAACUUAAGCAUAUCAAUAAGCGGAGGA
RNAcentral lists this unclassified non-coding RNA (329 nucleotides) under soil metagenome. RNAcentral describes it as "partial contains 5.8S ribosomal RNA, internal transcribed spacer 2, and large subunit ribosomal RNA". The stretch from base 1 to 120 matches the Rfam family "5.8S ribosomal RNA", at positions 35 to 154 of the family's 154-position model. The record is from RNAcentral.